Molecule: long non-coding RNA, 1070 nt
Filed under: Homo sapiens (human)
Lineage: Eukaryota; Metazoa; Chordata; Mammalia; Primates; Hominidae
Description: HSALNT0308059
Source: RNAcentral
ACUCCCUGUGGUCGUCUUCCACGUUGUGGAAGGUUUGUUGUUUCGCUUCUUGCAAUAAAUCUUGCUACUGCUUGCCGUUUGGGUUCAGGCUGCUUUUAUGAGCUGUAACACUCACUGCAAAGGUGUGCAGCUUCACUGCUGAAGCCGUUGAGACCACGAAUCCACCGGGUGGAACGAACAACUCCAGACGUGCCACCUUAAGAGUUGUAACACUCACCUCGAACGUCUGCAGCUUCACUCCUGAAGCCAGCAAGACCACGAACCCACCAGAAGGAAGAAACUCCGAACAUAUCCUAAAGUCAGAAGGAACAAAUUCCGUAUACGCUGCCUUUAAGAACUGUUAACACUCACCGUGAGGCUCCGCGGCUUCAUUCUUGAAGUCAGUGGGACCAAGAACCCGCCAAUUCCGGACCCAGGAUUACAGGUGUGAGCCACUGCACUGUUUAAUUUUUUAUUAUAGUGCUGUAGUGAGCCAAAAUGCCGCAACAGUACUCCAGCCUGGGCAACAGAGUGAGACUUGGUCUCAAAAACAACAAAAAGUCAAUUAUGGUCAAUUAUAGUUUUACUUAACCAACUUUCUUUUAUUUUUAAAUUUUUAUUUACUUAUUUAUUUGUGAUAACGUCACGCUCUAUUGCCCAGGCUGGAAUGCCACAGUGUGAUCAUGGCUUACUGCAGCCUUGAUCUCCCAGGCUCAAGUGAUCCUCCCACCUCAGCUUCCUCAGUAGCUGGGACGGUAGGUGCUUGCCACUAUGCCUGACUUACUUUUUUAUUUUUGUUUUUGUAGAAGCAGGAGUCUUCCUAUGUUGCCCAGGCUGGUCUCAAACUCUUGGGCUUGAGGAAUUCUCUUGCCUCAGUUUCACAAAGUCCUGGGAUUACAGGCUUGAGUCACCACACCCAGCCUUAACCAAAUUUGAUGAUAUUCUGGCCAGUUCAGAAUUGCCUUCUGCAGCGUUCAAAAAACAAACAAAACUUGUAAUUUGAAUCACAACGAUUUAUUCAGUGAACUAAGAAGCAUAGCUUUUUCUGUUAUUGAAUUUAUGGACUGUUCACUCUUAAGAAGGAAGGCCAG